GGAGGUUUGCCAGAACGGUAAUGGGCGAGACUUGAAAUCUCAGGCAACGUAAUCAUCCGUUGAGUGGGUUCGACUCCUACAGCCUCCUCA
RNAcentral lists this transfer RNA (90 nucleotides) under Caudoviricetes sp. RNAcentral describes it as "tRNA-Ser". It matches the Rfam family "tRNA". Rfam says of the family: Transfer RNA (tRNA) molecules are approximately 80 nucleotides in length. Their secondary structure includes four short double-helical elements and three loops (D, anti-codon, and T loops). The record is from RNAcentral. Lineage: Duplodnaviria; Heunggongvirae; Uroviricota; Caudoviricetes.